UUUUCCUUUCUGACAUCCAGAGGAUCCUGAGACAGAGAAAGGGUUUGUGUCAGGCAUGGUCGAUACUUUUGCAAGUGGAACACAAGCUCUGGGAAAUUUGUACGAUGAAAUCAUGGAAUCGUUUUUUCGUAGACGAAGAGACAGCUCUACCAGAGAGCAGCAGGAGGAGGGUCAUAGGCUUCCAGGCAUCCAUCCAAGGAGUAGGAAGUGAACUGUCACAGGCACUAACACCAAUAAUAUAUUGUGUUUCAACACAACAAAGACUUUCAGAAGACAACACUGGAUGAGAAUGAGAAUGAUGGAAGCCUUAGCACCCAGAUGUUCCACUCUGCCAUCACACAGUCUGUGUC
Long non-coding RNA from Sceloporus undulatus (fence lizard), 350 nucleotides. RefSeq lists it as uncharacterized. Lineage: Eukaryota; Metazoa; Chordata; Lepidosauria; Squamata; Phrynosomatidae. The record is from RefSeq and is a predicted model, not a curated record. The transcript has 3 exons.